This 460-nucleotide ribosomal RNA is filed under the name uncultured bacterium. Its description in RNAcentral is "partial 16S ribosomal RNA". It matches the Rfam family "Bacterial small subunit ribosomal RNA", at positions 338 to 795 of the family's 1533-position model. The record is from RNAcentral.
CCUACGGGAGUCAGCAGUGAGGAAUAUUGGUCAAUGGACGAGAGUCUGAACCAGCCAAGUAGCGUGAAGGAUGACUGCCCUAUGGGUUGUAAACUUCUUUUAUAUGGGAAUAAAACAGGGUAUGCAUACCCUCUUGUAUGUACCAUAUGAAUAAGGAUCGGCUAACUCCGUGCCAGCAGCCGCGGUAAUACGGAGGAUCCGAGCGUUAUCCGGAUUUAUUGGGUUUAAAGGGAGCGUAGGUGGAUUGUUAAGUCAGUUGUGAAAGUUUGCGGCUCAACCGUAAAAUUGCAGUUGAAACUGGCAGUCUUGAGUACAGUAGAGGUGGGCGGAAUUCGUGGUGUAGCGGUGAAAGGCUUAGAUAUCACGAAGAACUCCGAUUGCGAAGGCAGCUCACUGGACUGCAACUGACACUGAUGCUCGAAAGUGUGGGUAUCAAACAGGAUUAGAUACCCGAGUAGUC